RNAcentral lists this ribosomal RNA (465 nucleotides) under Vreelandella stevensii. RNAcentral's name for it is "partial 16S ribosomal RNA". It matches the Rfam family "Bacterial small subunit ribosomal RNA", at positions 338 to 795 of the family's 1533-position model. The record is from RNAcentral. Lineage: Bacteria; Pseudomonadati; Pseudomonadota; Gammaproteobacteria; Oceanospirillales; Halomonadaceae.
CCUACGGGCGGCUGCAGUGGGGAAUAUUGGACAAUGGGGGGAACCCUGAUCCAGCCAUGCCGCGUGUGUGAAGAAGGCCCUCGGGUUGUAAAGCACUUUCAGUGAGGAAGAACGCCUGGUGGUUAAUACCCAUCAGGAAAGACAUCACUCACAGAAGAAGCACCGGCUAACUCCGUGCCAGCAGCCGCGGUAAUACGGAGGGUGCGAGCGUUAAUCGGAAUUACUGGGCGUAAAGCGCGCGUAGGUGGCUUGAUAAGCCGGUUGUGAAAGCCCCGGGCUCAACCUGGGAACGGCAUCCGGACCUGUCAAGCUAGAGGGCAGGAGAGGAAGGUAGAAUUCCCGGUGUAGCGGUGAAAUGCGUAGAGAUCGGGAGGAAUACCAGUGGCGAAGGCGGCCUUCUGGACUGACACUGACACUGAGGUGCGAAGGCGUGGGUAGCAAACAGGAUUAGAUACCCUAGUAGUC